AAGUCGUAACAAGGUUUCCGUAGGUGAACCUGCGGAAGGAUCAUUAAAAGUCUUGCUUAGCAAGCAAACCACGAAACGGGGGAGGAAGGGGGAAAGGAUUUCCUUGAAUUCUCAAGGCGAGCCAAAAAAAUCCCCUUCCGACCUUUCUUUCCAAUCUUCCCAAUGUGCAUCCAUUGAAGUCCAUUGGCAGAGUCAUCUGCCAAAACCUCAUGCCUGAGCAUCAGACUGAAGCUUUUGACCAAAAAUCAAAUACAACUUUCAACAACGGAUCUCUUGGCUCUC
This 282-nucleotide unclassified non-coding RNA is filed under the name fungal sp. RNAcentral describes it as "partial internal transcribed spacer region". The stretch from base 1 to 46 matches the Rfam family "Eukaryotic small subunit ribosomal RNA", at positions 1786 to 1831 of the family's 1831-position model. The record is from RNAcentral. Lineage: Eukaryota; Fungi.